CCCUUAGAUGUUCUGGGCCGCACGCGCGCUACACUGAUGCAUUCAACGAGUUUCUUCCUGGUCCGAGAGGAAUGGGUAACCUUUUGAAAGUGCAUCGUGAUAGGGAUAGACUAUUGCAAUUAUUGGUCUUCAACGAGGAAUUCCUAGUAGACGUAGUUCAUCAGACUGCAUCGAUUACGUCCCUGCCCUUUGUACACACCGCCCGUCGCUCCUACCGAUUGAAUGCUCAGGUGAGUUAUUCGGACCUCCUUCAUGUUGGUUUCCAAUUUUGAAGAGGGAAAGUCUCGCGAACCUUAUCAUUUAGAGGAAGGAGAAGUCGUAACA
Molecule: ribosomal RNA, 324 nt
Filed under: uncultured eukaryote
Lineage: Eukaryota
Description: partial 18S ribosomal RNA
Rfam family: Eukaryotic small subunit ribosomal RNA
Source: RNAcentral